UAAGUAAGCGGAGGAAAAGAAACUAAAUAGGAUUCCCUUAGUAAUGGCGAAUGAACAGGGAUCAGCUCAGUAUGGAAAUCGGGGCUUCCCAGCCUUGAAUUGUAGUCUCAAGAGGUAUCGCCAACGGAGGCGCAGAUGUAAGCCUCUUGGAAAAGAGCAUCAAUGAGGGUGAGAAUCCCGUUUGUCAUCUGCAGUCCCCCGUGCACGGUGUAUCUUCUAAGAGUCGCGUUCCUCGGGAUUGGAGCGUAAAGUGGGUGGUAAAUUUCAUCUAAGGCUAAAUAUGGGUUCGAGACCGAUAGCAAACAAGUACCAUGAGGGAAAGAUGAAAAGGACUUUGAAAAGAGAGUUAAAAGUGCCUGAAAUUGCUGAAAGGGAAGCGAAUGGAACCAGUGCUCUUGGCGAGAUUGUUGYGCGCUAUGGUGAUUGCUGGSUGCUUCAGCGCAAGCGGGGUAGUUGGUACUGAGCCUGCCGCGCGCAGUGUUUCUUACCUUGUGCGUCACCGUCGGUUCACGGGCGAGGAUACUUCUGAGGACAUGGUAACUCUUCCACGGAGGUGUGAAUGUCUUUGGUAAUACUCGUUUGUAGACCGCUCACCUUCGGGUUACGAUGACUAAAUGGUUCUAUUCGACCCGUCUUGAAACACGGACCAAGGAGUCUAACAUAUGUGCGAGUUCUCGGGUGGUUAAACCUGCUUGCGCAAUGAAAGUGACUGCUGGGAUCUUUGCACCAGCAACCGACCAAUCAAUUAAGAGAGGUUUGAGUAUGAGCAUAUCUGUUAGGACCCGAAAGAUGGUGAACUAUGCCUGAGAAGGGCAAACUCAGGGGAAACUCUGAUGGAGGCUCGUAGCGAUACUGACGUGCAAAUCGUUCGUCAUACUUGGGUAUAGGGGCGAAAGACUAAUCGAACCAUC
Molecule: ribosomal RNA, 911 nt
Filed under: Amphidoma languida
Lineage: Eukaryota; Dinophyceae; Gonyaulacales; Amphidomataceae
Description: partial large subunit ribosomal RNA
Source: RNAcentral